Long non-coding RNA from Oncorhynchus tshawytscha (Chinook salmon), 4941 nucleotides. Lineage: Eukaryota; Metazoa; Chordata; Actinopteri; Salmoniformes; Salmonidae. The record is from Ensembl.
GUUUGUCUGUGGCCAGAUGGAUGGACAUGUCCACAAACCAGACAAGGCCCUCAAGUACUGCACAACAGCUGGACUAAGGAGCGUUGGGUAUUGCUGGUGAAGUCUUUGGAGAAGAAGAAGUUGGUCGUUGUGCGGCCUCUUCUCCCGUGCAUACCCACAGCAGUAUGACGCAGUCAUUUCCAGCAGACCUCUCACAUGCUGAAUACAGCUGAUGUUGUUUACAGCUCUCCUCCUCUCGUCUUUACACCUAUAGGCAGCUUGGCCUUUGUUCCACGUCUCCCUAGAUGUGUGUCCAUGUGAUGAAGCAGAAGAAGUGCCACUGACAUCGGGAACUGUUCCUUCGCCCACAUUCUGGAAGAAAGGGACGUCUGGACGUACAUGAAGAACAACAGCUUGAGGGACAUGCAGCAGAUGUUUGACAUGUGGCUCAGGCUGACCAGUCAGAAUAGACUCACUGAUGCAAGCCUUAUGGCCUUGCCUCUGGAGGAGAAAUGGGUUUCCCUGACGACAGAUUCCACUGAGUCAUUGAAGGAGGAGAUGUGUGAGUGUUUUCAGGCUGAGGCUGAGCCGCUCCCUGGAGCUGUGGAUAAGUGACCCUGAUCCCACUACACCAGAGACCAGCUACAGUACCUACCGCCUGUGACGAGAGUCUGAAUGCGAACACACACACCCCUUACAGAACGUAGAAAGGUGGAGAGUGAAAUAGGACAGAAAUUCCUAAUAGAGUUUACCCAGGAUCGGAUCCACUCUUUGUGUCUGUGGACUACACCUCUCCGUUCUUCGUGGCCUUUCUCAGCUGGAGAUCUGUUGGCGGAUUGGAUUGUCUGACUGACCGACUGACUACAACCUUUUUGUAUACGACUUGACGGACCAGAUGGGACUCAUCCCCUCCCAAACCAAAAGGAGAAACCAAUGUUUUCUCUGUCUGGCCAACACAACUCUCUCAACGUCUUGGUGACGGGACGUCACACGCUGUGGGGGUGGAAUCAUCUCAAGGACUUCAUCAAACUGAUACCAAUGGAUGUCGUCUCGAUAAGGCCAGUAAAAUCUGUUUGGUCCUACACGAUGCAUACAUUUCACUUGUACACAUGCCAUCCGUGCUGAGGAUGAUGCCUGGAUAAAGGUAAUCAAAUUCCACUACACACCACUGCCCAAGAACACCUGCAUUUCCCACACUGGAUUUCAUCCACAGGUUGUGGAUUUUCCUCAUUGGCUGGCUGUUCUGGAGCAGCCAGGACCUUCUGCCUGAAACUGAAGUGCUGUUGGUUAAAGCAUGCACAGUUUAGGUCCUUCUUUGUUGAACAAAGGCUGCUGACAUCACGAGACAUCAGCUCACCAGAAUUAAGGGUGAUGACCUGGUGUAGUCUCAUGGUGGAGGGCACCGCUUUUAUCGAGCUUGGCAUCAUCUCCAUCGCAUGUUCAACAUCUGGACUUUGUGGAGGAGUGGUCAAGUUCUUCAGUGUUCCUUUCCUCUCCUUGCUUCUUUUGUAUGCUCUUCUCCGUUGUUUACGCUUCUGACGCUGGUCUCUCACUUAAAUCACUGAUAUUUUUAUUUUUCCCUGAUUCAACAUUUCUUUUCCUUCGCUUUUUCUCAAGGUAUUGUUCCCUUUUUUUGACACUGCCUUUGUCUUUCUGCUGCUGAUGUGGGUGCCAUCAUUCCCUAGAUGGUUCAAUGGAUAACGUUAAAUCAAAGAUUCUUAGAAUAUAUACAUGUCUACACUAUAAUCCUUGAGUAAUUUAGGCUCUAGAGCGACUUAAAGGAACAACGGAAGUUAAGAGCCUUGCCCAACUCUCCUACCACUAGGCUACCUGCCUUUAAAAUAUAUGUUUUGCUCACAUUGAACACAUUACAGCAUGUUUCAUAAGUGAAUAUAAACCAUGUAUAAUAUAUUGAUUCAUUCAUUUGUUUAGAUGCAGUAAGUAACUCAACCCUGUCACAGGUUACAACCCUGUUACAAUGAAAUGUGAUGGUUUUUGGCUCAAAAUGGCCUCUGCUUCUCAUGUGAAGGACAGGAGACCACAUGGUGUGCAUGAAAUUAAUAGAUUGUAUAUUUUUAUGUGUUGAAAUAUAAUUUUGAUAGGUACUAGUUUUCCAUGUUUAUUUAAUGUAACGGGGUUGAGUUGUUCAGGUCGACGAUCCCCACCUGACUUUAAAAUAACAACAAAAUACAGAUAUAAAAGAAUGUGAUUACUUUCCUCUUUCUGUACCAUGCAGUUGAAAAUUGUUGAAUGAUGUCAGUUCCUGUUAAUGAUGGCACAUAAGGGUGGACUGACUAUUUUUUUAUAGGCAGAGUUUGGUAGGCCGUUGAGUGUAGACUGACGGACAGACUUAAAUUGUGUGAUUUCAAUCAAUAAUCAUGCAUUUAUUUGAUAAAUACUUACUCAACAAAAGAACACAUAUGUUUGCAUUAAUGGCAAAAGUGAUUAAUUAUGUGCACAUUUUAAUAUUAAUUUCCCAAGUAAAAAUAAUUAAGUGAAACAUGGCACAAUUCUUAGUCAGUUAAAAAAUAUGAUUUUUUAAAUAAUUAAGUUAAAAUGGAUGCUAUAUUUAUUUCAAUUCAUUAUACUGGACAUUUCAAUUUAUAUACAAAAUCUUUGAACAUUUUUAUUUUGGUGAUCCAAUACUUGAAAUAUAACAAAGUCAGAGGGGCUGCAAUAUUACCCGAGCCCAAGAAUGUCCCAUGUAAACUAAGCAACAACAAAAAGAAACGUCCUCUCACUGUCAACUGCGUUUAUUUUCAGAAAACUUAACUUAACGUGGAAAUAUUUGUAUGAACAUAAGAUUCAACAACAGAGAUGUAAACUGAGCAAGUUCCACAAACAUGUGACUCACAGAAAUGUAAUAAUGUGUCCCUGAAAAAAGGAGACGGGGUCAAAAUCAAAAGUUAGUCUGUAUCUGGUGUGGCCACCAGCUGCAUUAAGUACUGCAGUGCAUCUCCUCCUCAUGGACUGUACCAGAUUUGCCAGUUCUUGCUGUGAGAUGUUACCCCACUCUUCCACCAAGGCACCUACAGGUUCCCGGACAUUUCUGGGGGGAAUGGCCCUAGCCCUCACCCUCUGAUCCAACAGGCCCCAGACAUGCUCAAUGGGAUUGAGAUCCGGGCUCUUCGCUGGCCGUGGCAGAACACUGACAUUCCUUUCUUGCAGGAAAUCACGUACAGAACGAGCAGUAUGGCUGGUGGCAUUGUCAUGCUGGAGGGUCAUGUCAGGAUGAGCCUGCAGGAAGGGUACCACAUGGGGGAGGAGGAUGUCUUCCCUGUAAUGCACAGCGUUGAGAUUACCUGCAAUGACAACAAGCUCAGUCCAAUGAUGUUGUGACACACCGCCCCAGACCACGACGGACUCACUUUUUUUUUUUGUCCAUUUUUAAAAUAACAUAAAAUUGAUCAGAAAUAUCCUAUGUAGAUAUUGUUAAUAUUGUAAAUGACUAUUGUAGUUGGAAAUUGACUUUUUUUUUUCAAAUGGAAUAUCUACAUAGGCGUACAGAGGCCCAUUAUCAGCAACCAUCACUCCUGUGUUCUAAUGUCACGUUGUUAGCUAAUCCAAGUUUGGCAUUUUAAAAGGUUCAUUGUACAUUAGAAAACUCUUUUGCAAUUAUAUUAGCAGAGCUGAAAACUGUUGUUCUGAUUAAAGAAGCAAUUAAACUGGCCUUCUUUAGACUAGUUGAGUAUCUGCAGCAUCAGCAUUUGUGGGUUUGAUUACAGGCUCAAAGUGGUACAUGCAUACAUACAGUACCAGUCAAACGUUUGGACACACCUACUCAUUUCAGGGUUUUUCUUUUAUUCUUACUAUUUUCUACAUUGUAGAAUAUUAGUGAAGACUUCACAACUAUGAAAUGUUGUGAUAUCCAGGAAUGUGGGUUUGUGUUACUAUAAAUGUUGGCUUUCAAUUAAAAUCAUAAGGUUAAAUUAAAAACAGGACACAUCCAAGGUCACUUGCUCGAUGAAUGGUCAUGUAGUAACCAAAAAAGUGUUAAACAAAACAAUAUAUUUGCCUUGAUGACAGCUUUGCACACUCUUGGCAUUCUCUCAUCUGGAGUGCAUUUCAAUUAACAGGUGUGCAUUGUGAAAAGUCAAUUUGUGGAAUUUCUUUCCUGCGUUUGAGCCAAUCCGUUGUGUUGUGACAAGGUAGCGGUGGUUUACAGAAGAUGGCCCUAUUUGGUAAAAGACCAAGUCCAUAUUAUGGCAAGAACAGCUCAAAUAAGCAAAGAGAAAUGACAGUCCAUUAUUGCUUUAAGAUAUGAAGGUCAGUCAAUACAGAACAUUUCAAGAACUUUGAAAGUUUCUUCAAGUGCAGUCGCAAAAACCAAGUGCUAUGAUGGAACUGGCUCUCAAGAGGACCGUCACAGGAACGGAAGACCCAUAGUUCCCUCUACUGCAGAGGACAAGUGUGCUGUAAACAAACAAAGGCUUGUCACCUCUGACCGCUAUCUUUAGAAGUGUUCAAUGGUUAAUAAUAAUGUAUCUCGCCUUGUGCUUAGAGAGGAUUGGAGGAAAGAACAGUGGUCUGACAUGAUGGUAUCAAUACCCACAGAGAGAACUGCAUUUGAUCAUGACUGACUCAUUUGUUUUGGUUUAAGAAGUGGCUUUGACCCCAAAAAGCAUAGUCAGAUGUGAUUUAUUUUUUCCUGUUAAUCUUUUCAAGUAGAAGUCCGAAUACAUGCUUGUAAACCUCAGUUCACACCAUUUUCCCUGUAUUAAAAGAAGAAAAAUAUGUGUGAAUUGACAUGCACACCCAUAUCCACACGCACAAUUUGCUGAUAUCAAUUUAAAUUUUCGAUCAGAGUUAUGGAUUAUUUUCAACAACAUGGAAUAGGAACCAGAAUUAUAAGAAGUGAAAAAAACAAGGCCUCUUUUUGUACUGUAUUUUUACAUUUGUUGUUUGUCUUAGUUUUUACCUUUUCUCACCGUGGUUUGAAGUGAAUUAUGACCACAAUCUCUC